UCGAGCGAGCGGAACUAACAGAUUUACUUCGGUAAUGACGUUAGGAAAGCGAGCGGCGGAUGGGUGAGUAACACGUGGGGAACCUGCCCCAUAGUCUGGGAUACCACUUGGAAACAGGUGCUAAUACCGGAUAAGAAAGCAGAUCGCAUGAUCAGCUUUUAAAAGGCGGCGUAAGCUGUCGCUAUGGGAUGGCCCCGCGGUGCAUUAGCUAGUUGGUAAGGUAAAGGCUUACCAGGGCGAUGAUGCAUAGCCGAGUUGAGAGACUGAUCGGCCACAUUGGGACUGAGACACGGCCCAAACUCCUACGGGAGGCAGCAGUAGGGAAUCUUCCACAAUGGACGCAAGUCUGAUGGAGCAACGCCGCGUGAGUGAAGAAGGUUUUCGGAUCGUAAAGCUCUGUUGUUGGUGAAGAAGGAUAGAGGUAGUAACUGGCCUUUAUUUGACGGUAAUCAACCAGAAAGUCACGGCUAACUACGUGCCAGCAGCCGCGGUAAUACGUAGGUGGCAAGCGUUGUCCGGAUUUAUUGGGCGUAAAGCGAGCGCAGGCGGAAGAAUAAGUCUGAUGUGAAAGCCCUCGGCUUAACCGAGGAACUGCAUCGGAAACUGUUUUUCUUGAGUGCAGAAGAGGAGAGUGGAACUCCAUGUGUAGCGGUGGAAUGCGUAGAUAUAUGGAAGAA
Molecule: ribosomal RNA, 677 nt
Filed under: uncultured bacterium
Lineage: Bacteria
Description: bacterial SSU rRNA
Rfam family: Bacterial small subunit ribosomal RNA
Source: RNAcentral